Panicum virgatum (switchgrass) is the source of this 2112-nucleotide RNA transcript. It is a transcript of the gene named zinc transporter 10-like, with no coding region annotated. Lineage: Eukaryota; Viridiplantae; Streptophyta; Magnoliopsida; Poales; Poaceae. The transcript is spliced from 9 exons. The record is from RefSeq and is a predicted model, not a curated record.
GCCGGCCCACCGCUCGCCGCGUGGGAUCGGAUCGGACGGGUGACGACAUCCUCGCCGCGCGGCAGGGCCCGCCCCCGCCGCCGUACGCCCGACGUGGAGCGGUGGGGGGUGCCUGCCUUCCUGCCUGCCUGCCUGCGGCUGCGGCUGCGGCGGCGGGGCUCCUCCCCCAUCCUCUCUCUCGCCGCCUCCGCUCGCGCGUAUAAAAUGCACGCGGACUGUUCGAGAAGGGGCUGCUCGUUUUUUUUUCCGCAUCAGCAGAAGAAAUUCCGCGGCGGCGAUGCCGUUCUUCGAGGGAAUGAUGGAAUCGUCGUACGUGCCGUACCUCCGCGCGCACCUCCAGCAGAUAUCGGCGUCGUUGUCCACGGCGAGCUGCGCCCCGCCUGUCGCCGAGGAGGAGGAGUGCCGGGACGAGGCGGCGGCGCUGGGGCUCAAGAUGCUGGCCAUCGCGGCCAUCCUCGUCUCCGGCGCGACGGGCGUCGCGAUCCCGCUCGUCGGCCGCCGCUGGCGCGGGCGGGGAGCGGCGCCGCCCUCGUCCUCCUCCACCGGCGGCUUGUUCGUACUCGCCAAGGCGUUCGCGGCGGGGGUGAUCCUGGCCACGGGGUUCGUGCACAUGCUGGACGACGCCAACGACGCGCUCUCGGACCCCUGCCUCCCGGCCGUGCCCUGGCGCCGGUUCCCGUUCCCGGGGUUCGUCGCCAUGCUCGCCGCGCUCGGGACGCUCGUCGUCGACUUCGUCGGCACGCACAUGUACGAGCAGAAGCACCGCAGCGAGGAGGAACAGGCCGCCGCUGCCAAUGGCAGCUCGCGAGAGGACAUCGCGGCGGCGCUGCUCGAGGAUGGCGCGCUCGCGGCGAGGGGCGACGUCGAUGGGAGGGACGGGGGAGGCCACAAGGAGGACGCCAUGCACAUCGUGGGCAUGCGCGCGCACGCUGCCGCGCACAGGCACAGCCACGCGCACGGGCGUGGCUCAUGCCAUGGAGGAGGGACAUAUGACACCCACGCCCAUGGCCAUGGACACGAUGAAGAGCCGUCUCAGUCUCGCCACGUUGUUGUCUCGCAGGUUCUCGAGCUUGGGAUUGUGUCACACUCGGUGAUCAUUGGCCUAUCGUUGGGCGUUUCACAGAGCCCCUGUACCAUCAGACCUCUGGUUGCUGCCCUCUCCUUCCACCAGUUCUUUGAGGGCUUUGCAUUGGGUGGCUGCAUUUCUGAGGCUCAGUUCAAGAGUUCCUCUGCACUCCUGAUGGCCAUUUUCUUCGCCAUCACAACACCUGCCGGGAUCACUGUGGGGGCAGGCGUCGCAUCGUUCUACAACCCCAACAGUCCGAGGGCGCUGGUGGUGGAGGGCAUCCUGGAUUCCAUGUCGGCCGGUAUACUGAUCUACAUGGCCUUGGUGGACCUCAUUGCUGCUGAUUUCCUCAGCAAGAGGAUGAGCUGCAACCCGAGGCUGCAAGUUGGUUCCUACAUUGCGCUGUUCCUUGGUGCCAUGGCCAUGGCAUCUCUUGCCAUCUGGGCUUAGUCAGCAGGAUGGAAGUGAAGCAAAUGCUUGAGAGGACCUGCUUAAUUGAAUUACAUAGCAGCAGGUCUGGUGAAUAUGGGUGUUGCAUCCUCAUCACUUGUUGGUUCAGUCAGUGACUGGCUAGAAUCCACUUGCCAUUUUCAGAUAUCAAUUCAUGGAUCCUGUGAGGCCGGGAGGGAGGACCCAUUACCAUUACCUGCUGCACUCACGUUGCACGGGAAAGUCUGACGACUCUUUGAUUAGUUGCGACCUGCAAACCUGCUGCAGAAAUCUGGCUCUACGUUCGGAAGGAACUCAAGCAUAAGUGGGUUGCCAGGGACAGAAUAGGGAGAAGCUCCAAUGGAAGACUCCAGCGAGUCUCUGAAGGCCCAGUGACAGCAUGAUACGACUGCCACUCGAUCAGUCAAACAGGUAAUGAAAUCUUCAAGGGAGGAUGAAGACAGAUGCGGGAGAGGCAGUAGCACUGAACUCUCAAGGCGGACUCGGGAGGAGGCUGUGACAACAAAACGACAUGACGUGGCUGCCACCCAGGACAGAAGGAAGAAUCUGGCACGCCGUUUGGUUCAAGCACACUAUUCCUUAGCGCAUGCAAACCG